AGGUCUUCCAGGGCGAUUUGAUGCUGUGAGUUCACAGUUGAAUGAUGCUGUUUGCUAGAAACUCAGCAAUGAUGGAUAAAACACGAAAGUGAAAACUAAAAGAUAGAUUGGGGCUCAACUACAAGAUAAACAUCUUCACGGAUUGGACACACAGAAACACAAGCUGAAGCCAUGGGCUUGCUGGACCCUGGGUCCAGAUCAGGUUGUGAGGGUUAUCUAAGUAAAAAUCACUGCUGUUUGAAGAUCAGAGCUGAAGAGACGCCUACUGAACAUGCUCAUGAAAGGACCCCAAAAACAAAAGGCUACAAAAUGCUGCUGAAGGAAAACAUUUUCAGAUCAUACAUCUGAUGAGGGACUUGUAUCUAGAUUAUACAAAAAAUUCUUACAACUCCACAAUAAAAAGACAAAUAACCCAAUUAAAAAUGGUCAAAAGACCUGAAUAGACAUUUCUCCAAAGAAGAUACUCAGGCAGCCAAUGAACACAUGAAAAGGUGCUCAAUGUCAUUAGUCAUCAGGGACAUUCAAAUUAAAACCACAGUAAGAUACCACUUCACACCCCCUAGGAUGGUUCUAAUAAAAACAAUGGGCAAGUGCUAACAAAGACAUGGAGGAAAUGGAAUCCUCAUAUAUUGCUUGUGGGAAUGUAAAAUGGUGCAGCUGCAUGAAAAACAUUUUGGCAGUUCCUCAAAAAGCUAAGCCUAGAAUUAGCACAUGACAAAGUAAUUCCACUCCUAGGCAUAUACCCCAGAAAGCUGAAAAUAAUUGUCCAUAUAAAAACUUGUACAGGGGCCGGCCCCGUGGCCGAGUGGUUAAGUUCACCCUCUCCGCUGAGGUGGCCCCAGGUUUCGCUGGUUCGGAUCCUGGGCGUGGACAUGGCACCACUCAUCAGGCCACAUUGAGGUGGUGUCCCACGUGCCACACUAGAAGGGCCCACAACUAAAAUAUACAACUAUGUACUGGGGGGAUUUGGGGAGAAAAAGCAGAAAGGAAAAAAAAGAUUGGCAACAGUUGUUAGCUCAGGUGCCAAUCUUAAAAAAAAAAAACAAAAAAACUUGUACAGAAAGGCUCAUAGCAGGUGCUAGGGACUGAAUAGUGUUCCUUCUGAAUUCAUAUGCUGAAGCCCUGCCCUCCAGCAUGAGGGUAUUUGGAGGUGGAGCCUACAGGAGAUAAUUAGAUUUGGAUGAGCUCAUAAUGGUGGGGCCUCCCUGAUGGGAUUAGUGCCCUCAUAAGAAGAAACACCAGAGAGCUUACUCUCUUUCUGUCUACCACGUAAGGACACAGUAAGCCAGGAAGGCAGUUCUCACCAGGACCCCAUUAUCCUGCCACUUUGAUCUCAGACUUCCAGCCUCCAGAAUUGUGAGAAAUGAAUUUCUGUUGUUUCAACCACCUAGUCUAUAGUAUUUUGUUAUGGCAGCCUGAAAUGACUAAGAUAGAUUUUAGUAGAAAGUGGGCUGCUGCUGUAACAAAUACCUAAACAUGUGGAAGCAAUUUUGGAACUGAGUAAUGAGUAGAGGCCAGAAGAAUUUUGAGGUGCAUGCUAGAAAUAUGGAUGUUACAAUUUUGACACUAAUUCCAAUGUGUGGGUUUUUUCCCCACACCAAGCAAUUCUCUGGCGCUAGCUGGGUGUCCUACAAUUCAGCUCAAUUCUGACACUGCCUACCUGAAGAUAGCAUCAUAUUCCACAGGUAAAGGGCUCAGUCCCAUGAGACCGCCCACGCUUCAGAUGCCAAUCGCAAGUCCAGGUUGUUAACUGUGCUUCUGACUGACUGGCUGUAAAUGAGAGGUUCCUACAACCCCCGCCUUGGGUUUGAUUAGUUUAUGAGAGCAGCUCAUGGAACUCAGGAAACAGGUUUACACACUAGAUUACCAGUUUAUUACAAAGGAUGUUAAAGGAUAACAAAUCAACAGCCAGAUGAAGAGCUACAUAGGGUGAGGUCCUGAACAAAGGAACUCUAUCUUCAUGGAGUUGGGGCCUGGCACAGUGGCACAUGGAUGCAUUCUGGUUCAUUAAUUUGGAAGCUCUUCAAACUCUAUCCUUUUGUGUUCUUAUGGAGGCAUCAUUACGUAGGCACAAUUGAGUAAAUCAUUGGCCAUUGGCAAUUGAACUCAAUCUCCAGCCCCCCUUCCCUCCUUAGAUGUCCAGGGUUGGGACUGGAAGUUCUAAUCAUCUAAUCACAUGGUUGGUUCCUCUGUCAACUAAUCUCCAUCCUUGGAUUACUUAGGGGCUUUCCAAAAGUCACCUCAUUAACGUAAGAAAGACACCUGUAUAGCUCUCAUCACUCAGGAAAUUCCAAGAGUUUUAGGAAUUCUGUGCUAGGAACAGGACAGUGAGCAAAUAUCUAUUUCUUAUUAUAAAUCACAAUAUCACAGAUGUUAAUGGCAAUUCUGGUGAGGUCAUGGAAAUGAGAAACAUGUCACUGAAAACUGGAGCGAAGGCAAUCCUUGUUAUAAAGUGGCAAAGAACUUGGCUGAACUAUGUUCUAGUGUUUUGUGGAAGGUAGAAUUUGUGAGUGAUAUAAUUGGCUAUCUAGCUGAGGAGAUUCUAAGCAAAGUAUUGAAGGAGCAGCCUCAUUCCACCUGACUACUUACAAUAAAAUACGAAAGGAGAGAGAUGAAUUGAAGAAGGAAUUGUUAACCAAAAAGGAAGGAGAACUUGAAGAUUUGGAAAACUCUCAGCCUAUACAUAUUGCAAAAAGUAAGAAAACUUGUUCUGAAGAGAAUGCUAAGCAUGUGGCAGAAGAGAUCACGGGUGCAACUCAUGGACUUAAUCAGCUAUCUCAGCAGAAGCCAAAAGAAAUAGAGAUGGUAUUAUACUAGCAAAGACACUUCCAGUUUGAACUAAAGGGGACAGAGAAAGAAGGACGGAAUGUAAGAAGGCUGUCAGAUUCUUGGAUUCUCCAGGACUGGACUAUAGAGAUAUUCAUCUACAAAUGUGCACUAUUCUUCAUAAAAACAGAAGAAUGACCCCCGAGGCAAUCAGAGAUCAUAAGAGCUGCCUUCUUGGUUUCAAAGAGUGAGGUCACUGCCUCAAUUUCAACAGGCCAAAGGGCCUCCACCCUAGAGCUUUGGGGGUGGGGCCACCCAGAGCCUUGGAGGCAGGACCCCAGCCUGGCAGAGCCUUGGGGGCGCAAUCUCUGCCUAGCAGAGCUGAGGGGGCAGGAUUGCCACCUGAGUGAGUCGUAAAGGUAGAACUGCCAACCCAGUGGUUCUGGAUAGUGAGAUAUCAAGCCAAAGUAGGAUUAUUUUCAAGCCUUGAGACCUAAUGGAAUUUGCCUCACUAGGUUUUGGACUUGCCUGGGACCUGUCAUGCUGUCUUUCUUUCCUAGUUCUCCCUUUUGGAAUGGGGAUGUCCAUUCUAUGCCUGUCCCUCAAUUGGAUUGCACAUAAUUUAUCUGGUUUCACAGGUUCACAGCUGGAGAGGACCUUUCCCUCAGGAUGAAUAAUACCUUGAAUUGCACCCAUAUCUGAUGAUAUUUAGAUGAGACUACGGACUUCAGACUUUAGAGUUAAUGCUGGAAUGACUUAAGAUUUUGGGGCCUGUUGAAGUGAAAUUAAUGUAUUUUGCAUGUGAGAAGAACAUGAAUUUUGGGAGGCACAGAAUGCUAUGGACUGAAUUAUGUCCCUCUUAACGUUCAUAUGUUGAAGCCCUAACUCACAAUGCGAUAGUAUUUGGAGAUGGGACCUUUGGGAGGUGAUUAGGUUUAGAUGAGGUCAUGAGAAUGGAGCCCUCCUGAUGGGAUUAGUGCCUUUAUAGGAAAAGACACCAGAGCACUCGCCCUCUCUCUACCACGUGAGGAUACAACAAGAAGGCAACCAUGUGCGAGCCAAGAAAAGAGCCCUCACAAGAAACUGACCAUGUUGGCACCCUGAUCUCAGACUUUUAGCUUCCACCCAGUCUAUAGUAUUUAGUUACAGCAGCGUGAGAUGACUAAGACAGUAGGAUUGUUCAUGAAUCAAAGAGCGGAAACAACCCAAAAGUCCAUCAGUUGGAAUUGGCAGGGGGGCACUAAUACAUCUAAUAAUGAGAGUUUAUUGAGCCAAGUGCUUAAGUACUUUCCAGAUGCUAUUCUAAUCCUGAGAAAGAUUUUGCAAGGUAUUCUUAAAAAACAAAAUUCAGUGGCGUAAGUUUGAAGACCUAACUGCUUUAUUCAAUGAUUCAUGACUUGGGCAGCAUCUCACCUAGCAAGAAGAAAGGAGCCCUGAAGAGCUGUGCAAAAUGGAAGGCUUGUAGAGUGAGAAGGAGGUGGAUGAGGAAGUAAUUAAUAAAGAGUUGAUUGCUUCAGCAAGGUCACUCGUCUUUGGGGGACGGAAGUUGUCUAUCAGGUGGAUUACCUCAUUACUGCUGACCGGCUAUUUCCCAAUUGACUGGUUAAAGUUUACCUUCCUGGGACGGGCUGCAACUGCAGUUAGGUUAGGUCUUAAGUCUGGGUUUGCUGACUUGGGGCUUAAUACAAGUGACUCCAUUUUAGGCCUGUUGUCUCUUUUAUUUUUUUUUCCAACAGUAUUUACCUAAAAGAAAUACGGACACGCGCAUCAAAAGACACUUAUAACAGCAACAUCUAUGAAAGCCCUAAAAUGAGACAACUCAAGUUCCUACAUAAAUCAAUUGUGACUUAUUUGUUCAGUGGAAUACUUGACAGCGACAGAAAUAAACAAACCACAACUACACAAAUGAACCUCACAAACAGUGUUGAAAGAUGCCAGGCACAAAGAAUAUGUAAUGUAUGAGGUUGAAUAGAAAUAACGUGACUAGGGAUGUGUGGUUAGGUGGUAAAACUGUAAGAAAAAGCACAGAAGUGCUUCCUGUUGACAAUAGUUCUCUCCUUGACCAAACUCUAGCCAGGCUCCUCUGAGCCUCUUCCCGACUAGGCCUAUAAAACUUACUGAUUCUCACCCCUGUGCCCUCACAAACUUAAACACUAACAGAGUUUCUAGCAGCAAAAGGCCGCAUCCCCAGGGUGACCCUAGGCCCACCUUGAAGUGUCUGCCUGAGAAAGCGCAAAGCUGCCCAGAGAACUUCCUGUUUGUUCUGCUAACACCCGAAAGCAGAGCACUUGCUAAAAAGGCCUUAGAACAGUGAAUUCUUCCUGUCUCUUUGAGAUGCAUGUGUAUCUCCUACAACUCAGGAGUGACUUUCUCAAGGAUCUGAGAGCCAUUCCUUUAAAUGUAAUCAUCAACAGGAUAGCACCUCUGUCCUCAGUCUCUGUGGGAGGACAGACUCCUAACUCUAACUGCCAGAGAACAGACACAGCUGGCCUGAUCAGCAUUUACACUCACCAACUCUUUGUAAUUUUUCGCUUCCCUGACUCCGUGGAGCCCCCACUUUCCCCUCUUCCUACUCCCUCAUUCUCGUUUUAAAAGACCCAGUCAUCUCUGUACAAAUCGAAGUUGCAAAAGUAUAGCACUGACACUGAUUAAAGUCUGUCCUUGCCACUCCCACUGGCAUCUGGCCUUGGGGGGCAGGAGGAUAGUGAUGGGAGGGGCGCCAAGGGGGCUUCCGG
Molecule: long non-coding RNA, 5501 nt
Filed under: Equus caballus (horse)
Lineage: Eukaryota; Metazoa; Chordata; Mammalia; Perissodactyla; Equidae
Description: lncRNA (ENSECAG00000051068.1)
Source: RNAcentral